AUUUUUUAUAAUAAUGGGUCAAAUUACCUGUGUAGUUUUUUGUUUGGUUUUUAUUUUGGUAAGCAGAAUAUGCAAUUGAAGGUAUGAGCCUUGAAAUAAAAUAUCUAAUCAGCUGAAUUUCUGAAAAUAUUAAAGGGAGUUCCCUGACCAAGAUCUUUUAGAAUAAAGCACCCUAUCUACAGGGAUUUUUUUUUCCUGACGUCAAAUAAGAUGAAACUGAUGUGUUUGAGAAUCUGUAAUCUGAGGCCUGUAACGUUUGUGGUUGUGCUUACUAUUUAUCUAAAAAAGUAGGUGAUGGAUUCUGAAUCCUGUAGCUUGAGUCAUGGAGCUCUGAAGUCUGUCAGUGAUAGAUCUAGACCGAAGAUAAAACUGCAAGUAAAGGUGAUUUGAGAAAUGUUUGACCUUAAUAUUUAGAAGAGUCCCUUGUCCAAGUUAGCAAUAAUAAGACUCAAAUAAGUCAGAAGUCUGUGAUUACUGUAAAUUGGUAGCUCUUAAUUGAAAGGGAAAAUUUAUUAAUACUCUAAGAAUUGCUUCUGAUAAUUUCUCACAUGUAUUUCUUAGCACCCUUCAAUUUGGGUCACCAGUCUCUUGCCCAACACCUGUUUAUUUGCAUGGCUCCUAGGAUGGUUUCCUCGGCUUUCCCCCUCCCACUGGCAGUGAUCUUAGUGUAAGCUUGGAAGCAAGGCCAGAUUCUUUAUGUGCUGCUUUCGUGGCUGGUUUCCUUACUGACCUGAGGAGCCUGCCAUCAAGUGCUUUGAAGGACUUCUUUUACUGCGCAGCAGCAGUAUCCUAGAAACCCGGGUCAGUGUUGCAGCUGUGUUUUGGUUGUAUUAACUACAUCAUAGCUCCUCUGUAUUGGUGUACAUAAUUGACACUUGGCUGUUUUGGUAUACUGUUGUUGAGAAGGAUGGGUGUUUUGUUAAUAAUCUCAUAAUACUAUAAAAGAAGUAAAUCACAGUGCUGUGGGGGUUCAGGGAAAGGAAAGACCACAUCCAGUCAGAGCAAGUUUCUCAAUAUUCUGGGCUCCUUGUUGUGGAGCUGUCCUGUGCAUUGUAGGAUGAUUAGCAGCAUCCCUGGCCUCUACCCACUAGAGGCCAGUAGCAUUCCCCUUGCCCCCCAGUUAUGAUGAACAGAAAUAUCUCCAGACAUUGUUAAAUGCCUCCUGGGGGCCAAAAUGUCUCCUGGCUAAGAACCACUGAGUUAGAGGAAUUGAGGAGCAGUACCAUUUGAAUCAGGCCUUGAAGAAUGGGUAGGAUUUGCAGGGAUGGGGGACGGGGAGAGGUGAUUCUAAAUAGAGGGAAUGCCAAAAACGAGCAAGAUAAUAGUCUAAAAUAUUCUGCUGAUUCCCUGAAAAGAGGGUGGGAAGUGCAGUGAAGUUAUCCCUGAAGUGUGACAGUUUGGUAAAUACCCUUUUGGCAAAUAGAAAUUUUUUAAAGAUUAUUUUUCAAGAAUUUCUUUAUCUUAGCCCAGUAUUGAUGAAAGUUACAAAAAAAACCAAAAAACAGGAGUGUAAAAGGUGUUCUUCACUGUGGUUUGAAGGUCUUCUGCAAGGUUUUACCCUGUGUCAAUCCGUGGAUUAUGGAACGGAUUCUCCCAACGAAAGUAAAUGGUGCAAAAGAGUGCCCAACACCAGGACUCAAACUGAGAGAACAAAGAUCAUUAUUUAUGUCAGCCUCAGUUCAUUAUAUGUCAGCCUGAAGAAAAAGGGAGAUUCUUGAUUCAAGACUAGCACAUCAUUUCACGUGGCCGUAGAGUGCCUGGGAUGUUAACAAAGGCUUCUGAAAGGCUGAACCAUCUAUGAAUGUCAUUUUAGUCUAGCUGGCCUUAGUAUUUCUAAAACACAAUGGAAUUGAUUAGCAUUUUCAGGAUUUUUCAAAAUAAAAAUGUGGGAUCCGAAUUGUUUCUAAUCUUUUUCUCCAGCUUUUAAUUAGAUAUGAUAUGCCAGGGACUCAGCAAAUGUGAGGGGAAAAUCAUGAAAAUUAAAUCACAUCGUGUACUUUAAUAUGCUGGCAUUUUCUUAUCCAAGUUAAAUAUUAAUCAUAUCAGUAAAACACUAGGGUGGAAUUCUGUUACAGAAGUUACAGUUUAGAUAGAUACUUCCUUUUUUUCCCUGCCCUAUUUUGUAUAUCACUUUAAGUGGGGAAAAUAGUUUAUUUUAAAUGCUCAUUUGUCAACUAGUUCACAUGCUGAGCCAAAAGGGAGCCAGCGGCCCUGAAUGGAGAGAAGAGCAUACUUUGAGGGGAGAGUGUACCACGAAGACCUGCAGUGGACCUGGGGUCAAAGGGCAGAACAGAGUUGCCUUGUCCCUUCUGUCCCCCUAAUUCUCCCAGACCGUCACUGACCCCACCAGGUUCGUGGUUUGGCACUGUUCAGAGUGGAUAGGUGCCUAGUUAGACCUGCUCUGGGUGUGGAGGUGUCUGGUGAUUAGAAUGACUCUUUGUAUAUCUGUUCUCUCUCUAAUUGCUUCCUUUUAACCUCAAGAUUAGGCUUUUAUUACAGAAUGAAAUGCAUAUGAGCCAUUCAGUUUUACUCCAUUACCUCUCUGGCUUAGAAUGAACCAUCAGUAGAAUUAACAAAAAUUGCAUCACAGAGUUGGAGAAUUGCCACUGAGGAAGUAUUCUAGCCAUACUACAGGAAAGAUUCUCCUUGUGGGAUUGCUUCUCAGUGGAAUUCUAAAAUCCAGAAGAUAAUAGCACUAAGAAAAACUUAAAUCCUGUCAGCCGUUGGAAAAACUUAUCAAAAACAUACUCCCAAAUUCCUUUGAUUAUCCACAGUCUUAGUAAUAUUGGAUUCAGAAAAAGCAAUUUAGGGUUGAGGGGAGCAGUACCCUACCUGGUCUUAAUUCAAAGCUAGCCCCUGGGGUCAGAUCAUUGGGCUCACAGGGCUGCUUAUUAUCGGUGGACACGGUCGUACUAUGUGAGAUUUCAGAAUGGAACUCAUCAUAUUAAUUUAAACUUAGAGAGAUUUUAGGUCUCGGACAUAAGAAAAAUAGCUUAUCCUUUCUACCCUGGGUUUACCAUAAACAUCUAGGGCGUGCGUUUUCCUUAAAGCAUGCUUCCACUUCCAUUCAAGGAUUCUAUGCCAUAAGGUCAGCUUUUGCUCUCUGUGUUUAAUGUUUGACAGGUGAGCACUUUUAGUAACCUAUUUCUCUCACUCUGCCCCCCAAUAGGCUUCAUGAGAAUUAUGCAAAUUAGAAUAGAGAAAAGAUAUUUCACAAAAAUGUAACCUCUAUCAACAGAAUUCUAGCCUAGUGAUUUGCUAAUGUAACUAAUAUUUUACUUGGAUAUGAAAAUGCCAAGUAAAAAGUGUGAAGGGAAAUUCAUUUUUGAAAAAGUUCCUUUGAUUAAAUCACCAGAAUAUUACAUCUAAAACUGGAAAAAAAUUAAAAUUGAUUAUGACUGCACAUUUAUAUUUGCUAAAAAGAAUGCUAGUAAGUACCAUUGUGUUUAGAAAUGGUAAAUCUAGCUAAGCAAAAGACAUUCAUAAACUGCUAAGCCUUUCAGGAGCCUUUGUUAACAUCCCAGGCAUUCUGCUGCCACAUGAAAUGAUGUGCUAGUCUUGAAUCCAGAAUCUCCCUUUUUUUUCACGCUGACAAAAAUAGUGAUCUUUGUUCUUUCGAUUCUGUGUUUGGUGCUCUUGUGUACCAAUUUACCCCACUUGGGAGAUCCUAUUUCAUAAUUUCCUGAGCAAAAGGUUUGGACUGUUGUUUGGGACUUUUUUUUGUACUCUUCCAUAACAAAAUCGAAUUAGAAAAAAGUCAGACCAUUUAAGCAAGAGUUUGAGCAGAAGCUUCUAGAGUUAAGAUUUGUUCGGUGUCUUGCUGGAAGCGUGAGAGUGAGGACAAGGAUCACUCGUGUUCUGUCUCACAAGCAGUGAGUUAGACUUUUGCAGUGUGUCUGGAUGUGAUAUCCUGGGAGUUAAAAAAUAUGAGUUUGACCAGCAGCCUUUAAAGCUUCUGGAAUGUUUUUUAAAUGAAUGAGAUGUUAGUACACUGAAAAUUUUUCUGUCACAGUGUGGAGCAAUAACAUUUACAUUUCGCAUUCUGUGAAAUUCAAAUCUGGGAGAGACUGUCCUUUUUGCUUAAUGCAAGCGUUUGCUUCAGGAUUUAUUACUUCAGAGAAUGAAAGUUUAUUACUCUGUUGAAAAGUAGCUGAUAUUAACACUUCAUUUGUUUAAUGAUAAAACUCAGAGGAAAUUUGCACAGAUGCUGCUUUGGAGAACUUUACAACCUGGGUUGCAGAACUGAGCCUUGGUAAACCUGUCUCUCUUACAGCAUGUUGCCAUACAUCUAAUUAAGUGCAUAAGGUCUUUGGCCUUCAAGCUCCAUCGACCUUAAACGGGAAUGCUUAGCACGUUUACCAUACGUUUAAAAUCUGUUCUUUAUCAAUCAGUCCUUUUGUAGCUUUCUAAGUUCUUAUUGAUGGCUAAUAUGCAAGAAUUAAUUUUUAAUAUUUUAAUUGAUUUCUUUAAUCAGUUUCUCAACUUGUAUUUAUUAAAUACUCAAACUCAGUAUUACCUACUCAAUGCCUUUUAAAAGAAAGUGAUAAUGGAGAAAAAAUUGAGCCUUAAACAAAUGGUUACUUCUGUAUAUUACCUCGCACCAGUGCUUCAUUCUAUUUGUAAAAUCUUUCUCCUUUAAAUGGUUGGUUAAUACUUUGAGACUUUGUUUACGUGUGGCAGUGUUGUAAAAAGAAACUAAAGAUCAUAAUUUACCUGUGUGGAUGGAAUAUCCCUUUUCUUCAAGUGUAGUUUGUGAUGUGUUUUUUGUAAUUAACAUGUUCUGAAAGUUACAAUUGAUAUUUCAAAUUGUAGCACGUUUAGCUGAAGAGUUAAGCGUUUGAUUCCAUUAGGUUUUCACAUGUGUUAAUCUCAUUUACGGCAUCAAAUUGCAGCAGUAACAUUUUCCUUUCUGUGAAGUUCUAAAUUUAGUUAUGACCUACUUAGCAAUGCCUUUGAAAAGGGAUAUUGUAUCCAUGGUAAAUUAAUUGUAUACCCAAACAGAGAUAGCUCAGCUUUGCCAGUCAGGCUUGUAAUUGACAUCUAGUAGACUUCUGCACAUGUAAAAUUGAAUUCAAAUAAAAUCAUAUACACUUUCUAGUUCUUAAUAUUUGUCUUUCUGAAUAAUAGUUUAAAGCAAUAUUUGUUAAAGUUUUCUUGCACUAUCACAAUUGCUUUUUAGUUAUUUCUCAAGAAGCAUGUUUGUAGUAGAGACAAAAAAUCUGUGUAACAGGAAGGAGGAUAGCGCCAAGUCUCUGGGCUUUUAUUUUUUGUUUUUGUUUUUGUUUGUUUUUCUUUUUCAAAUGUGCUUCUAAUAGCCAUUGCCUUCCAUGUUGUUUACCUAAUCAGCACAUUUUGUCUGAAUACUUGAACAUUUUAACAGUAACACAGGUAUAGAAACGGAAAGGAAACUUAUAAAGAGUAAUCUUUUGGUUCAGUUUUAACAUCAUGACAAUGAGCGCUUUUUCUAGCAAUGAUUUUUAAAUUUUGUAAAUUUGACAGUAUUUUGUUGUUGGUUUUUUAUUUGGUUAGUCGCCUGCUUUUAAUUUGCAGAAGUUAGUAACUGCAGCUCACCUACUGCACCAAAGUUCUCGAUUUUAGGAGCCCAGCUUUAGUCAUUUGAACAUGCUUCUAAAUAAAACAAAACGAAAAACCAAAACUAUACUUUUAAUCUACAAUAAUAGCUCAAUAACUUUGUCAAGGAAAGCUCUAAUAUAUGCAGUGAUGGUUUAUGGAAGGGUGUGGCAAUUUUAAAUUUAUAUUGUGUGUGAUGUUCAAAUAAAGUGAUAUCUACAUUCAUGUGAUUUAUUGGUCAGCAUGACCAUUAAUUAUUGUGUAGAAAUUGGUUAAACUUUGAUUUCCUUUUUUUAAAUCGUGUUGCAUUUGAUUCCUGAUCAAAUUCCCUCAAAGUGAACUCUUGAUCUUAGAUUUUGAAUUUUGUGGUGAGAUUGUAAGGGUGGAGGCAAUUGAAACAUUGUUCCUUAUUUAUAAACUGCUUGAAAUGAAUACUUAAGUUUGCACUUUAAUACCAAACUUAAAACCAAACACUCACUUCAAAGUCGGUUAAGUGAUCAUGGUUCAUCAUUAUCAGCUGUGUGAAAUUUUAAAGGAAUCAAAUAAUUCAUGAUGAUUUAAAUUUUCUGCAGAUACAUUUUUUUAUACAGUGUUUCUUUCUUACCGACAGUUCUCAUUCUCUCUCUCUGUCUCUCUCUCUGUCUCUCUGUCACUGACCUCAGCACCAAAUUUAACUUGAAUUCACUUAGGAUCACAGGAAUCAGGGGAAAGUGAUUAAAGGUGGUUUCUCCAGCACAUUUUAAGAAAAGGGACCAAAAGUUAUUUUAGCUUCCACAAUAGAUUGCAUGUCAAGUUGCUUAUUAGGAUAAUAAAUUAAUAUUAAAUGCAAUAUAUGUCUUGUCUUUACUAUGGCAUCUGUUUAGGAGUUGUUCAAAUCACUGCAGUAGGGCUCUGCAAAUAAAAUCAUGUAACCUAUUAUCAUGGAUCUAAUGUACUGUAACUUUAUCAAUGAAAGGUAAAAAAUCUCGAAUAACAAGUACAAACAUUGAACAAUGACCUAUAAAGAUUUGUAAAAGUAAAAUUUUUCCAAUAGAUUUCAUUCUUGUCAUUUUGUAAGACGAUCCUGCAGUCCACCUGUUUGUAACUUUUUUAAUAAAAUAGACAUCUGUAUUA
Long non-coding RNA from Equus asinus (donkey), 6684 nucleotides. Lineage: Eukaryota; Metazoa; Chordata; Mammalia; Perissodactyla; Equidae. The record is from Ensembl.